Molecule: small nucleolar RNA, 130 nt
Organism: Suncus etruscus (white-toothed pygmy shrew)
Lineage: Eukaryota; Metazoa; Chordata; Mammalia; Eulipotyphla; Soricidae
Product: small nucleolar RNA SNORA51
Exons: 1
Source: RefSeq, a predicted model, not a curated record
AAGCUUAUGGCAGUUACUACUAAAUAUAUAUCAUUUCUGUAUAGACACAGGAGGUACAGUAAAUGCACCCCAUAUACACCUCAACCCAGGCCCUUUGCCUGAUCUGUAUUGUGAAUUUGGGGACACAAAA